Molecule: ribosomal RNA, 393 nt
Filed under: uncultured bacterium
Lineage: Bacteria
Description: partial 16S ribosomal RNA
Rfam family: Bacterial small subunit ribosomal RNA
Source: RNAcentral
AUACGGAGGAUGCGAGCGUUAUCCGGAUUUAUUGGGUUUAAAGGGUGCGUAGGCGGUUUUUUAAGUCAGCGGUGAAACGCAAGGGCUCAACCCUUGACCUGCCGUUGAAACUGGAGGACUUGAAUGCGGAUGCUGUGGGAGGAAUGGGUGGUGUAGCGGUGAAAUGCAUAGAUAUCACACAGAACACCGAUUGCGAAGGCAUCUCACAAAUCCGUGAUUGACGCUGAGGCACGAAAGUGUGGGGAUCAAACAGGAUUAGAUACCCUGGUAGUCCACACUGUAAACGAUGAUGACUCGCUGUCGGCGAUAUACAGUCGGUGGCCAAGCGAAAGCGAUAAGUCAUCCACCUGGGGAGUACGACCGCAAGGUUGAAACUCAAAUGAAUUGACGGGG